Molecule: long non-coding RNA, 5283 nt
Filed under: Sus scrofa (pig)
Lineage: Eukaryota; Metazoa; Chordata; Mammalia; Artiodactyla; Suidae
Description: lncRNA (ENSSSCG00040057639.1)
Source: RNAcentral
GGGUUUAUCUGUCACCUGCCUCUCAACCCCCAUAAUAUCUCAUACCACUGCCUGUCACUUAAUGCUCAGCAGUGAAGGCUGCUGUUUUUGUUUUUGUUUUCCUUAUAUAAAUACUAUAAAUAAUGUUUCCUAAUAGUCUAUGCUGACAGUAAAACCUGGUCUUAGACCAAGUUUUCUUCUAAGAGAUUGGGUGACCUUGGGCAAGAUGGUAACCUCUUUAGGCCUCAAUUGUUUCUUAAAAAAGGAAAAUAAAAAAAGAAAGAAGAAGAGUAGAUAACAUAAUGCAGACCACAGAGAAUUUUUCCUUAAAGUGCAUCACAUAGAACACCAAAUCUGUGGGAUGUUAGAAAUGUUAUGAGAGAAAAAUAUUUCUGUGGUCAAAUGACCUUGAUAAACACUGGAUAAAGAAGCCAGGAGGUCUGGCACUGAGAUAGAGCCCAAACUGAGAGAAGAAGAGAGAGAGAGAGAGAGAGAGAGAGAGAGAGAGAGAGAGAGACAGAGACAGAGAGAGAGAGAGAGAGAGAGAGAGAGAGAGAGAGAGAGAGAGAGAGAGAAAUAGAGAGAGAGAGAUUAUUGUUUGAUGACAUCCAGCCUCUUACAAAACUAUGGGUGAGGCCAUCCUAAACCAGUUGCCAGCUGAGCCACAGAUGCUGAGGAAGAUCAGUUAAUCCUGGCCCAGGCCGGUAUAACUGCUCAGCUGACCUCCAAAUUCAAAGCUAACUUUUGGAAUGGUUUGUUAUGCAGCUUAGGUUACUGAUACAAAGAGGAGGGAAGGUGUGGGGAUGGACCUUGGGAAUUCGCAAGCUAACUUUUGGAAUGGUUUGUUAUGCAGCUUAGGUAACUGAUACAAAGGGGAGGGAAGGUGUGGGGAUGGACCUUGGGAAUUCCAGAAGACAAUACAAUGAGAUGUGGUGCCUAAGUGUCCAAGUCCCCUAGGUCCUCCCCCACCGCCUCCCCAAGGUCUGAGUGGCAGGUAUUGAAGUACCUGCUCAUGUUCACACCUCAGGGAAUCUGAUAGCCCUGAAGGCCCUUGAACAGAGCUGGCUGAGCAAAGAAUGGGACUUGAUUCAAGGGUAACCCAUCCACUGAUUGACCACCUAUGAGUUGUGACCUGGCUCCAAAAGAUGAACUGGGCCAAUCAAAGCCUUCCCUGGCAAUUAAUGAGAGCAUUGUGGGGCCAGAGCUGAAAGGUCACGGGUGAGCCAUUAAAGGCCCCUGUGAAGUGGAGAAGCAGAGAUGUUGUUUAGAAGCGAACAACGUUGUUCAGAUGCGCAGAGAGACACAGAGCAGCCCUGGGAGAUAGAUGGGCGAGAGACGGGCUCUUCUCAUUUUCAGCUCCAGCAGGGUGAUCAUCUGGAUCCAGGGAGUAGACAACCACUCAGGCUGGUACAAGAAGAUGCAUGUGUACUAUAAGGCUGCGGGGCCAUCUCCAAGAACCAUAUGCAAGACAUAUAAGCAUUUGUGGAAAAGGAGAAACUGGAGAGUCAUCAAACAGAACAAUCUCUCUCUCUCUCAGGCAGGCUUUCAAGAAGGUCAUCCCUCUUCGAACUUGAGGGAGGGCUUGCUUUCUUACAGGGACUCUCCCCGUCAUGCUUUCAGCAAGAGGCGUGGGUAAACAUACGCUUUCUCAGUCUGCUCUCUGGGUACAUUCUCACCUCACACUCCCUCAUCCCUCCUUCGACCACUGGCUUUCUAUCUUGAACUGUCUUAAGGGGAAGAUUCCAAAUUUGGGCUUGCGCUUUGCGGGAAAUAGGUCUCGUGGGUCUGAGGCAGGUGUCACUAGGUCCGGCUCAACCAACCAGGGUUUUGUGGAUGAUGUUGAUUCAAAGCCAUUGCCAAAAUAAAACAAAUCUUGGACUUCCAAUUGCCUUUGGAAUCUUGUUCAAAUAUCACUACCAGGAAACUCUUGGAGAGCUAGGACUGUGAAUUGGAGUAGGACAUGGGUGUUUCCAGAUUCCUGCCUUUUUACAAUUUUAAUAGCACACUGGUUUCUAGCACAUCAGUGAACAAAGAAAAUAACCCUUCUCUACAAGAGAUCCAGAGAAGAGGUAACAAGAUUUCUUCCUACCAAAGGUCAUCUCACACAGGGGAGUUGCCAUUGGAGAUGUGUGUGAUGGGCUGCAUUAGUCAGGGUUCCCUGGAGAAACAGACCAAUAAGAGAUUAUCUCGCUAUGUCUGUCUGUCUGUCUAUCUCUCUAUCUCUCUAUCUAUCUCCCUAUCUCUCUCUCUCUCUAUCUAUCUACCUACCUACCUACCUAUCCUAUCAUUUUUAUUCAUUAUAUGAAAUUGGCUCAAUAAACUAUGGAGGCAAGAAAGUCCCUCAUCUGCAGAGCUGAUGUCACGGUUUGGGGACCAUCAGGCAACUGAAUUCUCUUUUCCUCAGGGGAGGACUGGCUUUUUGUUCUAUUCAGACCUUCAGUGGAUUGAAUGAGGAGGACAAUUUGCUCUACUUAGUCUACUGAUUGAAGGGCUAAUCUCAUCCAAAAAAACACCCUCACAGAAACACUCAGAAUAGUGCCUGGGAACCAAAUAUCUGGGCACUUUAUGGUCCAGCCAAGGUGACACCUAACAUGUUAUCUCAGCUGGCCUGGAACCAUAGCUUGAGCUUCUCUUUGCUCUAGCAAGAAUACACCUGGCAGAGUUCCCAUUGCAAUUCAGUGGGUUAAGAACCUGACAGAGUGUCCAUGAGGAUGCGGGUUUAAUGCAGGGCCUUGUUCAUGGGUUAAGGAUCUGGUGUUGCCCUGGCUAUAGCGUAGGCCUGCAGCUGCAGCUCCAAUUCAAUCCCUAGCCUGGGAGCAUCCAUAUGCUAUAGUUUCGGCUGUAGGGAGAACAAGAAGAAUGCAUAUGUAAGAAGAAUGCAUUCUGUACAGCAGAAAUUGGCACAACAUUGCAAAUCAACUGUACUUAAAAAAAAGUAUACACUUGGCUUCUGACUAGCUUCUGACUAUGCUUCACAGGAGAGAGCUCACAGGUUAUUUUCUUAACCCUUCCUCAAGAAAACUAUAAAUGCUGCCUAGCAUAUCAAAUAUAGAUGGUUAAGGGUACUGGGGAGCAAUGUGGAAGCAUGAGUUAAGGGUGGGGAGAAGGUUCCAGAGAAAAGGGAAAUGCAUUUCAGUGAAGCUUGCAUAGUGUCACUAGGCUGGGGAAACAAAAAUAGGAGUUCAGAACCAGCAAGAAGUUAGAGCAAAUUCCUAAGUAUCAAAUUCCCAGAGAAUAGAGAAUCACAAGGAAAUGAAUCUGAUGUCCUGUAUACAAUUUCCCUCCAAGGAAUUUUCUGACUCCUAAGUGGUGAAUGCCUUGGGAUAAGAUAUUGAAUAAUCAUGCAAAAUUCACCUACUAAAAUAAUAGAGAUUUUAGCAGGCUCAUAGGACUCAGAAGACGAAAAUCGGUGUAUGAACGUGUGAGGGGGGAGGGACUCUGGAAAACAGCCCAGGUUUUCAGUUGAGACCUCCUCACUGCUACAUCAUGGGGGGAGGGAGAAGGCCAAAUAAAUCAGCCCUCAAAAGAGACCAAAACUCAGCCUUGACUAAUAAAAUAAUCAAGGGACUCUUUCUAUACUUUAUCUGCCUGAGAGAAGAAAAUCAAAUCUCCUCUUGAGGAAGGAAAUAGUCAAAGCUGCAUAAUUCUUUUUUUUUUUUUUUUUUNUAAUUUUUUUUUUUUCUUUUUAGGACUGCACCUGUGGCAUGUGGAGGUUCCCAGGCUAGGCGUCCAAUUGGAGCUGUAGUCACCGGCCUAUGCCAUAGCCACAGUAAUUCAGGAUCCAAGUUGCAUCUAUGACCUACACCACGGCUCAUGGCAAUGCCGGAUCCUUAACCCACUGAGCAAGGCCAGGGAUUGGACCCGCAUCCUCAUGCAUGCUAGUCGGGUUCAUUAACUGCUGAGCCAUGAUGGGAACUCCAAAGCUUCAUAAUUCUUGAUACACAUUGUCUGGCAUAAAAAAUGACUGGGCAUAUCAAAUAACAGAAAAAAAACCCCUGAAAACUAAGAGAGAAAUAGAUACUAAAUAUUCACAGGUAUCUAGAUAUUGGCAUUAUCAAACAGACUUCAACCAUGAUUAUUUUAUAUUAAUAAAUAGAUGAAAAGAAUUUCACAGAGAAAUGAAAUCCAUAAAAAGAGUCAAAUCAAAAUUUUAGUGUUAAAAAUUUAAAGUAACUGAAAUUAAAUAAAGAAUCUAGAAAACAUGGACAACUUUAAAGCGCUCAGCUCUGUUCUUGGCUGGAGUGAAGGGAAAAGAACAUUUAUGCCCAUUUUCACGGAUUCUAUAAAACUCAAAGAAAUUUGAAGUGGCCUUAAUGAUAUUUCCCAUACAGGGUCCUAUGUAUUUGUGUAGGCUUUACCUGGCCAGAGGUUUGGUCCCAACAUUUGAAGCCUGUACACCUGCGAGCCGGAGACAAAAUAAAUGUACCUGGGACACUGCUACACUUGCAGAGAUGUGGCAUUACAGAGAUGAUUCAAGACUCACAGGUCUUCACAGGAUCUUUAAAAAGAUAAGUUUUAGGUAGCUGUUGACCUACUUGAAAAUGACCAGUUUCUUCUAGAUGGUUAAAAGUUCAGUUUGGAGUAUAAAUACAUCUGGAAUCGCCACUUGGAGGGAACCUUAAUUCACAGAUGAUUGAAAACAGUUUAGGAAGAGAGGGAAGAAGCAACAGUGAAUGAUGACUAAAAAUGAUAUUUUCUAGAGGAAACCCACAGGGCUCUCACCCCCAUGUCUCAGCCUCUGCAGUCUCAUCCUGAUCCCUGGUCCAGUGGUUCCCUUGGCGUGCCACACUGUCACAGCAAAUAUCCCUGUGGCAACAGUGGUCUCGCCCUCCAGAUGAAAUCUUUCAUGCCUGUGGAAGGCCCCUGAAGGCACUACAUUCACACCUUUGGGUUUUGAAGAUAUGCUCCCUGCAUGGUUUCACUAGGAGGGCUCAUGUCUGACACCCGGACCAGUGGCUGCUUAGGGAAUUUGGACCUCCCCUAGAACUAAGCAAGGCUCUGUGGGAACAAAGGGCUGCUUUGAGGGCUGGGGCAACCAAAAGAAGAGGGUGGGGGUAAAACAAGUGUUCACUGAGCACUUACUGUAUACCGGAUGCUCAAUGCUUCACGCUUAUAACCGCAUUUGAUUUUUGCAAUUCUGUACAUUGGGUUUUAUAUUUUCCAUUUUGCAGAAGAGGCUAAGGCACAGAGGAGUUAAGCAACAUGGCCAAGUUUGUCCGACCAUGGGAGGUGGCAAGAAUUCACUCCUGUUUGGAAGUUUGCCUCACCUGGUCUUCCAAGGAGACGGGAAAAAAAAAAAAAAAA